RNAcentral lists this long non-coding RNA (2026 nucleotides) under Nicotiana tabacum (common tobacco). RNAcentral's name for it is "long non-coding RNA (NTAB_LNC002509)". The record is from RNAcentral. Lineage: Eukaryota; Viridiplantae; Streptophyta; Magnoliopsida; Solanales; Solanaceae.
GUGAAUGGUCAUGGAAGACAUGGGAAUACCUACUAUCUGCCUUUCAAAAAGAGCAACAAUGUUGCCAUUGCAGAAUGAAAACCACUAAUGCAUGGUAUGCUUUAGAAUGUUGUCCAAAGAAUUUUUUCCCUCUAGAAUUCCUUAAACUUUAACUGACGUAGCAUCAACUGAAUACUGAAGAGAAGACUGUUAAGAACACCCCCCCCCCUCCCCCCCUCCCAAACCAAAUAGUAUUAUAAGAUACCGGGUUGGGCUGUUUCGGGUACAAUGUUUUCAAAUCUUAUUCAUCAGUAUAAGGAAAUUAGAGUUGCUUUCGUCUUGAAUUAUUUUGUAGUAGCUAUAAUAUCUAAAGGGAAAAGUCUUAUACACACUUUCUAUGUUGCUUUUUGACCUUUAGAAGAACAAAUAGAUGAAAGACUCAGGAAGACUAGACUAGUAUUGCGUGUUGAAACAAAUAAGGCAUGGCAUGGACCUCCUUGCAGAAGUAGGAAAAGAAAUAUCUUUAUUUGAUCUUGAGAGAGGAUAGAACUUUUCAAACUCUCCCCUCUUUUGUGCCACAAACGUCUUAUGUAGUUUCCUCUGCAUUUCUAGCUUAGCGUAGUUAUAGGCAGGUUCUAAUAAAUAUAAUGAGAACCAGAAUGUGAAGAACAUCAGAAAGGGUCCUUACUGUAAACUUUUAUUUCUUUUUCUCUUAUUUCACACUUCUUUUAUAGUGUGUCUAUUUCUUUUCACUUCUCUGUAUGUCUCUGUGAAGAGAUGUUUCUAUAGACCCCAUGCUUGCGAAAGCAAUUACAUUAGCAGUAGAUUGGUACAAACUGUAUAACUAGAAGUAGAACAUGGGGUACACGUGUUUGUAACAGUACAUGUAUGUUAUGAAUUCUGUGACUAGAUUUGUAAUUGACCAAAUGCACUAUGCUUCAUCUAAUGUCAGAGAGAGGCGGAACGUUUAUUCUGAACUACAUACAUCGCCAGCUAGGGACAAACAAAAGGUAGUAGCCAGAUUGGAGAGCAAAUAAGACAGAAUCUGAUAUUACUGCACUUUAUGUGGGAUUUUUAUUGUUGUAAAUCUUAAAUCUUUACAGUUCAAGUAAUUGUUGAAGCAAGUGAUGCUGAGAAAUGGGUCUGGACGAGAUCUAAAACUGUUCAAGAGGAUUUGGGAUUUGAUUUUGAGUUACCAACCCUUCCAUCCAAUUGUAGUUAUAGUGUCACGUCACAGUAACAGAUUUGGUGACACAACCUACGCAUGGCUUCAGAUUACUGUUCAGUUCAGAACAAACUUUUGUUCUCUUAUGCUGCCUGCAGUAUAGGUGACAUAGUGACUUUCAUCUGCUUUUGCAGAUAAGAUGUUGUAAAAGUAACCCUUUAUGGUUACUGAGGACAACUAAGAAAAGAAUACUUGUUGCUGAUCCCCCCCCCCCCCCCAAAGAGGUUCAGAUAGAGAAACACAUUAAGCAUGAUAGUAAGCCUUAUACGCAGGUACAAAUACAUUCACUUAAAAAUUGCAUAACUACUGCCAAUUUGGGAAUAUCAUAGAAGUCAAUAGCAAAAUCUAGCAACAUUUAGUAGAGUAUAUCAUCUUCCUCCUUAUAAAUCAUCCCAUUAUAUUGUGGAGAAUCCAAUCUAAUUUAUACUCUUGAGAGAUUGUUAAGGUCGUGGUUGAAUUAUUUGUUUGUUUAAGUUCUUCUAGCAAUACUUUUUUGCAGACGAACUAUGUUCAUUCCUGUCUUAAACUAUUCUUAAUGGCUAGAUGACAGGUCAAACUCUAUAAUCAUUCAAGGAGAAACAGAAACCGAUGAACAAGUAUGUGAUCCAAUGUCAUUUUUGGACAUGCACAAAUCAUAAUGUGGUGUAAUAACAAGGAACAACAUACAGUGCUAGGUAUAUAUAAUUCAUAUGUUGUUACAAAAUGUAAAAUCUGUAAAUCGGCAUGGAAAUAUAUUCCUUACUUGUAUAGCUAACAAAAUCAUAUGAGUUUUGAUUUGUUUACUUUGGUAGAGUCUCUUAUAUAGUUGUACAAAUAUCUGUU